CAGUAGCCACGGUAAUACGUAGGGUGCAAGCGUUAAUCGGAAUUACUGGGCGUAAAGCGUGCGUAGGCGGCUUUUUAAGUCGGAUGUGAAAUCCCUGAGCUUAACUUAGGAAUUGCAUUCGAUACUGGGAAGCUAGAGUAUGGGAGAGGAUGGUAGAAUUCCAGGUGUAGCGGUGAAAUGCGUAGAGAUCUGGAGGAAUACCGAUGGCGAAGGCAGCCAUCUGGCCUAAUACUGACGCUGAGGUACGAAAGCAUGGGGAGCAAACAGGAUUAGAUACCCCAGUAGUCCCUGUCUCUUAUAC
This 301-nucleotide ribosomal RNA is filed under the name uncultured bacterium. Its description in RNAcentral is "partial 16S ribosomal RNA". It matches the Rfam family "Bacterial small subunit ribosomal RNA", at positions 509 to 807 of the family's 1533-position model. The record is from RNAcentral.